GAUGAAGAACGUAGCGAAAUGCGAUACGUAAUGUGAAUUGCAGAAUUCAGUGAAUCAUCGAAUCUUUGAACGCAUAUUGCGCUCUCUGGUAUUCCGGAGAGCAUGCUUGUUUGAGUAUCAGAAAACACCUCAACUCCCUUUUCUUUUUUGAAAUUGGAGCUGGACUUGAGUGAUCCCAACGCUUUCUUCCAAGAAAGUGGCGGGUUGCUUGAAAUGCAGGUGCAGCUGAACUUUUCUCUGAGCUAUAAGCAUAUCUAUUUAGUCUGCCUAAAAAACAGAUUAUUACCUUUGCUGCAGCUAACAUAAAGGAGACUAGUUCUUGUGCUGACUGAUGCAGGAUUCACAGAGACAGCUUCGGCUGACUUUGUAAACUCGAUCUCAAAUCAAGUAAGACUACCCGCUGAACUUAAGCAUAUCAAUAAGCGGAGGA
This 430-nucleotide unclassified non-coding RNA is filed under the name soil metagenome. RNAcentral describes it as "partial contains 5.8S ribosomal RNA, internal transcribed spacer 2, and large subunit ribosomal RNA". The stretch from base 1 to 120 matches the Rfam family "5.8S ribosomal RNA", at positions 35 to 154 of the family's 154-position model. The record is from RNAcentral.